GAUGAAGAACGCAGCGAAAUGCGAUAAGUAAUGCGAAUUGCAGAAUCCGUGAGUCAUCGAAUCUUUGAACGCACAUUGCGCCCCUUGGUAUUCCAUGGGGCAUGCCUGUUCGAGCGUCAUCUACACCCUCAAGCUCUGCUUGGUGUUGGGCGUCUGUCCCGCCUCUGCGCGUGGACUCGCCCCAAAUUCAUUGGCAGCGGUCUUUGCCUCCUCUCGCGCAGCACAUUGCGCUUCUCGAGGUGUCUGCAGGGCCCGCGUCCACGAAGCAUUACCAGUCUUUGACCUCGGAUCAGGUAGGGAUACCCGCUGAACUUAAGCAUAUCAAUAAGCGGAGGA
This 336-nucleotide unclassified non-coding RNA is filed under the name soil metagenome. Its description in RNAcentral is "partial contains 5.8S ribosomal RNA, internal transcribed spacer 2, and large subunit ribosomal RNA". The stretch from base 1 to 119 matches the Rfam family "5.8S ribosomal RNA", at positions 35 to 154 of the family's 154-position model. The record is from RNAcentral.